This 990-nucleotide long non-coding RNA is filed under the name Mytilus galloprovincialis (Mediterranean mussel). Lineage: Eukaryota; Metazoa; Mollusca; Bivalvia; Mytilida; Mytilidae. The record is from RNAcentral.
GGAACAUGUUUCUUUUCCUCUUGAUUAACUUAUCUGCAAAGAGUGGAUUGAACAAAGUAUAUAUAUAUAAAGCGCAGGCAAUCGUCAGAUAGAUUAAAGGGUAAUUCUAAAAUUAUCUGCAAACAGGUUGAAUAGAAAACAAUGAAUAAUAUUAGUGUGGCAGUGUUGGUGGCUUUAGUCCUUAUUGAAUCAUUUACUGUUCAAAGUAGUAAGUAAACAUUUUACUGACAAAAAAGAAUUGUUAAUAUAUUGCAUAUUCAUUUUAUUCUUUGAAGAUUUUUUAUUAACUGCCUGUUUUUGUUUAAUUCUUUCAAGACUAUAUUCAACGUCAAACAAACUAUUUAAAUUUAUUAUAUGUUAUUGAAUUAUAGUUACUGCAAGAGAAGACGAAAACGAUAUUCACGAAAAAGUUGCUUGAUAUUCAAACUGUAAAAGGAAAAAGAAAAUAUAUAGUGUGUUUUUGCGCAUUACCCGUGUGACAUUUCUCUUACAUCUUAAAAUUUUUGAUAUCCAUUCAAAACUAUGACGAUGCAAUUCCAAUGUUUGAACAUGACUUACUUUUGGCUUUGAACUUUUCAGUAAAUGGGUGUGGCAUCAUUGUAUGUGAGCACAAGUCUGCGUACAUCACAUGUCCCGACCCUUUGACAAUAUCGGUACAAUCUGCAAUAUAUGGGCGGUCCACUGAUUCAUCUGUAUGCCCUGGGAGUGUCAAAACAACUCAUUGCGGAUCAGAAAGUUCAAUCUAUAAAGUCAAAAGGCAAUGCAAUGGCAAAAGUAUUUGUUUAUUGACAGCAACCAAUCGUCAAUAUGGAGAUCCUUGCCGUGGAACAACGAAGUACCUAGAAGUGGAAUACAAGUGCACUUAUGAUUUGCUUAACCACUACUAUGUCACACGCCGUUAGUGUGUUGAAGAUAUAUAAUCCCUGCGUUUUGUUUUGGCAAUCUGCUUUUUUUAUAAUGUGUACCGAACAUUAAAAUAAUAUUGUUUUG